RNAcentral lists this small RNA (779 nucleotides) under Pan troglodytes (chimpanzee). Its description in RNAcentral is "processed transcript". The record is from RNAcentral. Lineage: Eukaryota; Metazoa; Chordata; Mammalia; Primates; Hominidae.
CUGAGCUCAAGCCUGUGGAACUGGACACUUUGGAAGGAAACAUCACGAAGCAGCUGGUCAAGAGGCUCACAUCUGCAGAGGUGCCAAUGGCCACAGACAGGCUGCUCUCUGAGGGUUCUGUUGGUGGAGAAUCCGAAGGCUGCAGAUCCUUUCUAGAUGGAAGCUUAGAGGAUGCUUUUAAUGGGCUUUUCCUUGCAUUAGAACCACAUAAAGAGCAGUAUAAAGAGUUUCAGGAUCUGAACCAAGAAGUCAUGCAUUUGGAUGAUAUUCUAAAAGAUGCUAAACACCUUGAUGAUCAGAAACUAAAUGGUGCUGCCUCUUGGACGGAGAUCACUGAGGGUGAAUGAGACAACUGUGAUUUAAAAGACCGAAAGACGUUUUCCCAUGUGCUUUUGUGCCAUCUUGAGUGUCAGAGACAGAUCCCUGCAAGGCCCUUCCUACCUUGCGCUAAGAAAUCAGCAAGGAGUGUCACCUAACUGGAUGGAGGACAUUUAGUGCUUCUAACUUGCAGAAUUUGUCCCAUUCGACCCACCCCAGCAUCCUCUUGAAUAUUUGGAAAUACUUCUCUCCAACUCUGUGCCCAUAGCAACUGGCAUUGUUUUGCUUGUAAUGUUUCUGCAUGUGGCCAGCAUUAUAGAAUGCUCCAGGCCAGAGAAUGAGAUUGCUCCCAUGAUGCCAGGGCCUGGUCAGGGAAGUGGUGGGACUUGUUCCCUUUGAGGCAGAGCUCCAGAGGAAGCAGGGCUGCUUCUUGUCAUGCCCAAGGCAUUCAUUCUUUCCUC